Molecule: ribosomal RNA, 288 nt
Filed under: uncultured bacterium
Lineage: Bacteria
Description: partial 16S ribosomal RNA
Rfam family: Bacterial small subunit ribosomal RNA
Source: RNAcentral
GACGAACGCUGGCGGCGUGCUUAACACAUGCAAGUCGAGCGGUAAGGCCCUUUUGGGGGUACACGAGCGGCGAACGGGUGAGUAACACGUGGGUGACCUGCCCUCAGCUCUGGGAUAAGCCUGGGAAACUGGGUCUAAUACUGGAUAUGACCUUUCCUCGCAUGGGGUUGGGUGGAAAGUUUUUCGGCUGGGGAGUGGGCCCGCGGCCUAUCAGCUUGUUGGUGGGGUGAUGGCCUACCAAGGCGACGACGGGUAGCCGGCCUGAGAGGGCGACCGGCCACACUGGGA